CGGGCUGCACUCCUCUUCCACCCGCCGCGUCCCAAGCCCCUAGCUCGGAUCCUGGGCUUCAGCCUGCGUACCCCGGGGAUGCCAGGGCCCGCGGCCGCCGGCGCCCUCGGGGCACCAGAGAGAGAGAGAUCCUACGUUCUGUGCAAAACCUCUUACAGAUCACGCUGUGUAUUGAGUCCAGACGAAAAGCACAGGGAAAACCCCAACCUCGAGCGAGCCCCGUCUCACCUGAGGUCAGAACCUCUGAUGUUAGAGGGGCUGUUUUCGCAGCCAACAUGAACAUGGAGAAGGGACAAUUCAACCUUGUCUUCGCAGAGAAAAGUGCUUCUCCUGUAGGCUCAGUCUGUAAUGUUUGGGUGGGACUCUGGCACACAGCAUGGAGGUACCUCUGAAAACUAAAUAUAGAACUACCAUUUGACCCACUCCUCCGCAUGUAUCCAGACAAAACUUUCACUGAAGAAGAUACAUGCACCCCUGUGCUCAUUGCAGUGCUAUUCACAAUAGCCAAGACAUGGAAACGACCUAAAUGUCCAUCAACAGAUGAAUGGGUUAAGAAGAUGUGAUAUAUAUAUAUAUAUAUACACACACACACAAUGGAAUACUACUCAGCUAUAAAAAAGAACAAAGUAAUUUGCAGUGAUAUGGGUGGAACUAGAGACUCACAUACUAAGUGAAGUAAGUCAGAAAGAGGAAGACAAAUACCAUAUGACACCACUAAUAUCUGGAAGCUAAUAUACAGGUGGAAAUGAACCUAUCUAUGAAAAGAAACACACUCAUGGACUUGGAGAACAGAGUUGUGGUUGCCAAGGGGGAGGGGGAGAGAGUGGGGUGGACUGGGAUUUAGGGGUUAGUAGAUGCAAACUAUUGCCUUUGGAGUGGAUGAGCAAUGAGAUCCUGCUGUAUAGCACAGGGAACUAUAUCUAGUCACUUGUGAUGGAACAUGAUGGAGGAUAAUGGGAGAAAAAGAAUGUAUAUAUAUGUAUGACUGGGUCACUUUUCUGUACAGCAUAAAUUGACAGAACAUUGUAAAACAACUAUAAUAGAAAAAAAUAAAAAUCUUAUUUAAAAACA
RNAcentral lists this long non-coding RNA (1071 nucleotides) under Sus scrofa (pig). RNAcentral's name for it is "lncRNA (ENSSSCG00025039772.1)". Lineage: Eukaryota; Metazoa; Chordata; Mammalia; Artiodactyla; Suidae. The record is from RNAcentral.